CCUACGGGUGACAGCAGUGGGGAAUAUUGCACAAUGGGGGAAACCCUGAUGCAGCAACGCCGCGUGGGUGAAGGAGCGUUUCGGCGCGUAAAGCCCUGUCAGCGGGGAAGAAGACAGACGGUACCCGACCAAGAAGCCCCGGCUAACUACGUGCCAGCAGCCGCGGUAAUACGUAGGGGGCGAGCGUUAUCCGGAUUCACUGGGUGUAAAGGGAGCGUAGACGGCCAAGCAAGCCAGGGGUGAAAGCCCGGGGCCCAACCCCGGGACUGCCCUUGGAACUGCAUGGCUGGAGUGCGGGAGGGGCAGGCGGAAUUCCUGGUGUAGCGGUGAAAUGCGUAGAUAUCAGGAGGAACACCGGCGGCGAAGGCGGCCUGCUGGACCGCGACUGACGUUGAGGCUCGAAAGCGUGGGGAGCGAACAGGAUUAGAUACCCUAGUAGUC
Molecule: ribosomal RNA, 441 nt
Filed under: uncultured bacterium
Lineage: Bacteria
Description: partial 16S ribosomal RNA
Rfam family: Bacterial small subunit ribosomal RNA
Source: RNAcentral